GAUUAAAUAACAUAUUCUGAAAUUGGAACAAUACAGAGAUUACCAUGGCCCCUGCACAAAGAUGAUAUGCAAAUUCGUGAGGCAUUAAAAAAAAAA
RNAcentral lists this small nuclear RNA (96 nucleotides) under Castor canadensis (American beaver). The record is from RNAcentral. Lineage: Eukaryota; Metazoa; Chordata; Mammalia; Rodentia; Castoridae.